GUCGAGCGGAUUUAUCCUUCGGGAUAAGUUAGCGGCGGACGGGUGAGUAACACGUAGGUAACCUGCCUAUAAGAUCGGGAUAACUAUCGGAAACGAUAGCUAAGACCGGAUAACUGGUUUUCUCGCAUGAGAGAAUUAUGAAACACGGAGCAAUCUGUGGCUUAUAGAUGGGCCUGCGGCGCAUUAGCUAGUUGGUAGGGUAACGGCCUACCAAGGCGACGAUGCGUAGCCGACCUGAGAGGGUGAACGGCCACACUGGGACUGAGACACGGCCCAGACUCCUACGGGAGGCAGCAGUAGGGAAUCUUCCGCAAUGGACGCAAGUCUGACGGAGCAACGCCGCGUGAGUGAUGAAGGUUUUCGGAUCGUAAAGCUCUGUUGCCCUAGACGAACAGCAAGAGGAGUAACUGCCUUUUGUGUGACGGUAUAGGAGAAGAAAGCCCCGGCUAACUACGUGCCAGCAGCCGCGGUAAUACGUAGGGGGCAAGCGUUGUCCGGAAUUAUUGGGCGUAAAGCGCGCGCAGGCGGUCAAUUAAGUUGGGUGUUUAAGCCCGGGGCUCAACCCCGGUUCGCAUCCAAAACUGGUUGACUUGAGUGUAGGAGAGGAAAGUGGAAUUCCACGUGUAGCGGUGAAAUGCGUAGAGAUGUGGAGGAACACCAGUGGCGAAGGCGACUUUCUGGCCUAUAACUGACGCUGAGGCGCGAAAGCGUGGGGAGCAAACAGGAUUAGAUACCCUGGUAGUCCACGCCGUAAACGAUGCAUACUAGGUGUUGGGGAUUCGAUUCCUCGGUGCCGAAGUUAACACAGUAAGUAUGCCGCCUGGGGAGUACGCUCGCAAGAGUGAAACUCAAAGGAAUUGAC
Molecule: ribosomal RNA, 862 nt
Filed under: Paenibacillus sp. SC5s6.3
Lineage: Bacteria; Bacillati; Bacillota; Bacilli; Caryophanales; Paenibacillaceae
Description: bacterial SSU rRNA
Rfam family: Bacterial small subunit ribosomal RNA
Source: RNAcentral